RNAcentral lists this transfer RNA (64 nucleotides) under Rattus norvegicus (Norway rat). It matches the Rfam family "tRNA". From Rfam's summary of the family: Transfer RNA (tRNA) molecules are approximately 80 nucleotides in length. The record is from Rfam by way of RNAcentral. Lineage: Eukaryota; Metazoa; Chordata; Mammalia; Rodentia; Muridae.
GGGGAUUUAGCUCAGUGGUAGAGCGCUUGCCUAGCAAGUGUCAAGGCCCUGGGUUCAGUCCUCA